This is a non-coding RNA of Nomascus leucogenys (northern white-cheeked gibbon), 148 nucleotides long. It matches the Rfam family "Metazoan signal recognition particle RNA". From Rfam's summary of the family: The signal recognition particle (SRP) is a universally conserved ribonucleoprotein. It is involved in the co-translational targeting of proteins to membranes. The record is from Rfam. NCBI's taxonomy places the organism in Eukaryota, Metazoa, Chordata, Mammalia, Primates, Hylobatidae.
GCUGGGUGUGGUGGCGCAUGCCUGUAAUCCCAGCUACUCAGGAGGCUGAGGCAGGAGAAUCGCUUGAACCCAGGAAGCGGAGGUUGCAGUGAGCUGAGGUUGCGCCACUGCACUCCAGCCUGGGUGACAGAGUGAGACUCUGUCUCAA